Molecule: ribosomal RNA, 508 nt
Filed under: uncultured bacterium
Lineage: Bacteria
Description: bacterial SSU rRNA
Rfam family: Bacterial small subunit ribosomal RNA
Source: RNAcentral
UCCUGGCUUAGGAUGAACGCUAGCGGCAGGCUAACACAUGCAAGUCGAGGGGCAGCGGGAUGUAGCAAUACAUUGCCGGCGACCGGCGGAUGGGUGCGUAACGCGUAUGCAACCUACCUUAUACAGGGGAAUAACCUUUCGAAAGGGAGACUAACACCCCAUAGUAUUGAUUUAAGGCAUCUUAGAUUAAUUAAAUAUUUAUAGGUAUAAGAUGGGCAUGCGUAUGAUUAGCUAGUUGGUAAGGUAACGGCUUACCAAGGCGACGAUCAUUAGGGGUUCUGAGAGGAAGGUCCCCCACACUGGUACUGAGACACGGACCAGACUCCUACGGGAGGCAGCAGUGAGGAAUAUUGGUCAAUGGGCGCAAGCCUGAACCAGCCAUGCCGCGUGCAAGGAAGACGGCCUUAUGGGUUGUAAACUGCUUUUACAUAAGACUAACCGUAUAUUUGCGAAUAUACCUGAAUGUAUUAUGAGAAUAAGGAUCGGCUAACUCCGUGCCAGCCGCCGC